CUCCUCUUGAAUAGCAUAGGAGGUAUGAUCUGCUCCAUGCAGAAGUAAAUUGCCGCAGUAUCUUGACUGUGCUAAGGUAGCAAAAUAAUUUGGCUUUUAAUUGGAGUCUGGAAUGAAUGAUUUGACAAAGUCUAGUCUGUCUCACUUAUUAUUCUUGAAAUUGGAAUUUUUGUAAAAAUACAAAAAUAAACGAGAGGGACGAAAAGACCCUAUAGAUCUUUACUCUUCUUAUUUAAUAAAUAUUGAUUUUAGUAAGUUGAGUUUUCUUGGGGCAAGACUAAAAAUCGAAUUUUGGUUAAAGAAAAAGAUUGAUUAAUCAAAAAGAUGAGACGAAGUAAGAUAAGUUACCUUAGGGAUAACAGGAUAAUUUCUUUCCUUAGAACUUAUAAGGAAAGGAGUUUAUCACCUCGAUGUUGAAUUAAGUUUUCUUUUAUUCGUAGAAGGAUACGGAGUUAGUCUGUUCGACUAUUAAAAACUU
RNAcentral lists this ribosomal RNA (478 nucleotides) under Priceiella rotundiceps. Its description in RNAcentral is "partial large subunit ribosomal RNA". It matches the Rfam family "Bacterial large subunit ribosomal RNA", at positions 1820 to 2597 of the family's 2925-position model. The record is from RNAcentral. Lineage: Eukaryota; Metazoa; Arthropoda; Insecta; Psocodea; Philopteridae.